Molecule: ribosomal RNA, 301 nt
Filed under: uncultured bacterium
Lineage: Bacteria
Description: partial 16S ribosomal RNA
Rfam family: Bacterial small subunit ribosomal RNA
Source: RNAcentral
CAGUAGCCACGGUAAUACGGAGGAUCCGAGCGUUAUCCGGAAUUAUUGGGUUUAAAGGGUGCGUAGGCGGAUAGAUAAGUCAGUGGUGAAAGACGGUGGCUCAACCAUCGCAGUGCCGUUGAUACUGUUUAUCUUGAAUAUGGAUGAGGUAGGCGGAAUGUGGCAAGUAGCGGUGAAAUGCAUAGAUAUGCCACAGAACACCGAUUGCGAAGGCAGCUUACCAAGGCAAAAUUGACGCUGAGGCACGAAAGCGUGGGGAUCGAACAGGAUUAGAUACCCCUGUAGUCCCUGUCUCUUAUAC